UGGUGCUAUUUCUUUACUCCCUU
This 23-nucleotide non-coding RNA is filed under the name Rattus norvegicus (Norway rat). Lineage: Eukaryota; Metazoa; Chordata; Mammalia; Rodentia; Muridae. The record is from RNAcentral.